RNAcentral lists this ribosomal RNA (732 nucleotides) under Tshurtshurnella bicolorata. RNAcentral describes it as "partial large subunit ribosomal RNA". It matches the Rfam family "Eukaryotic large subunit ribosomal RNA", at positions 1284 to 1922 of the family's 3401-position model. Lineage: Eukaryota; Metazoa; Arthropoda; Insecta; Hemiptera; Issidae. The record is from RNAcentral.
AACAACUCACCUGCCGAAGCAACUAGCCCUGAAAAUGGAUGGCGCUCUAGCGUCGUGCCUAUACCGGGCCGUCAACGGCAAAGUGGGACGCUGCCCGGCCGGUUUACGCCGUCCGGCUCGUCCGUUAAGCCUUGACGAGUAGGAGGCGCGCGGCGGUGUGCGCAGAAGGGUCUGGGCGUGAGCCUGCCUGGAGCCGCCGUCGGUGCAGAUCUUGGUGGUAGUAGCAAAUACUCUAGCGAGGGCCUGGAGGGCUGAUGUGGAGAAGGGUUUCUUGUGAACAGCCGUUGCACAAGAGUCAGUCGACCCUAAGCCCUAGGAGAAAUCCGAUGUUGAUGGGUAGCGAUCACUGGUCUGACUGCUCCCGUCGGGCGAAAGGGAAUCCGGUUCCUAUUCCGGAACCCGGCUGCGGAACCGUCACUUCGCGGGCACUCGCCUGCGAGCGCUCGUCGGGGUAACCCAAAAUGACCCGGAGACGCCGGCGGGAGGUCUGGAAAGAGUUGUCUUUUCUUUAUAAGCGUUCGAGUUCCCUGGAAUCCUAUAGCAGGGAGAUAGGGUUUGGAACGCGAAGAGCACCGCAGUUGCGGCGGUGUCCGGACCUUCCCCCCGGACCUUGAAAAUCCGGGUGAGGGCUACGCGGAAUGUCGCGCCGGCUCGUACCCAUAUCCGCAGCAGGUCUCCAAGGUUAAGAGCCUCUAGUCGAUAGAAUAAUGUAGGUAAGGGAAGUCGGCAAAU